Molecule: ribosomal RNA, 253 nt
Filed under: uncultured bacterium
Lineage: Bacteria
Description: partial 16S ribosomal RNA
Rfam family: Bacterial small subunit ribosomal RNA
Source: RNAcentral
GACGGAGGAUGCAAGCGUUAUCCGGAAUGAUUGGGCGUAAAGCGUCCGCAGGUGGCAGUUCAAGUCUGCUGUCAAAGACCGGGGCUUAACUUCGGAAAGGCAGUGGAAACUGAACAGCUAGAGUAUGGUAGGGGCAGAGGGAAUUCCUGGUGUAGCGGUGAAAUGCGUAGAUAUCGGAAGGAACACCUGUGGCGAAAGCGGCUCACUGGACCACAACUGACGCUGAUGCACGAAAGCUAGGGGAGCAAACAGG